CCUACGGGAGACAGCAGUGAGGACUAUUGGUCCAUGGGCGCGAGCCUGAACCCGCCAAGUAGCGUGAAGGAUGCCUGCCCUACGGGUUGUAAACUUCUUUUAUCAAGGAAUAAAGUGAGGCACGUGUGCCUUUUUGUAUGUACUUUAUGAAUAAGGAUCGGCUAACUCCGUGCCAGCAGCCGCGGUAAUACGGAGGAUCCGAGCGUUAUCCGGAUGUAUUGGGUUUAAAGGGAGCGGAGAUGGGUUGUUAAGUCAGUUGUGAAAGUUUGCGGCUCAAACGUAAAAUUGCAAUUGAUACUGGCAGUCUUGAGUACAGUUGAGGUAGGCGGAAUUCGUGGUGUAGCGGUGAAAUGCUUAGAUAUCACGAAGAACUCCGAUUGCGAAGGCAGCUUACUAAGCUGCCACUGACAUUGAUGCACGAAAGUGUGGGUAUCAAACAGGAUUAGAUACCCUGGUAGUC
Molecule: ribosomal RNA, 460 nt
Filed under: uncultured bacterium
Lineage: Bacteria
Description: partial 16S ribosomal RNA
Rfam family: Bacterial small subunit ribosomal RNA
Source: RNAcentral